AGUGAACGCUGGCGGUAGGCCUAACACAUGCAAGUCGAACGGCAGCACAGUAAGAGCUUGCUCUUACGGGUGGCGAGUGGCGGACGGGUGAGGAAUACAUCGGAAUCUACUUUUUCGUGGGGGAUAACGUAGGGAAACUUACGCUAAUACCGCAUACGACCUACGGGUGAAAGCAGGGGAUCUUCGGACCUUGCGCGAUUGAAUGAGCCGAUGUCGGAUUAGCUAGUUGGCGGGGUAAAGGCCCACCAAGGCGACGAUCCGUAGCUGGUCUGAGAGGAUGAUCCGCCACACUGGAAGUGAGACACGGCCCAGACUCCUACGGGAGGCAGCAGUGGGGAAUAUUGGACAAUGGGCGCAAGCCUGAUCCAGCCAUACCGCGUGGGUGAAGAAGGCCUUCGGGUUGUAAAGCCCUUUUGUUGGGAAAGAAAAGCAGCAGGUUAAUACCCCGCUGUUCUGACGGUACCCAAAGAAUAAGCACCGGCUAACUUCGUG
Molecule: ribosomal RNA, 492 nt
Filed under: uncultured bacterium
Lineage: Bacteria
Description: partial 16S ribosomal RNA
Rfam family: Bacterial small subunit ribosomal RNA
Source: RNAcentral